GAUGAACGCUGGCGGCGUGCCUAAUACAUGCAAGUCGAGCGAACGGACGAGAAGCUUGCUUCUCUGAUGUUAGCGGCGGACGGGUGAGUAACACGUGGAUAACCUACCUAUAAGACUGGGAUAACUUCGGGAGACCGUAGCUAAUACCGGAUAAUAUUUUGAACCGCAUGGUUCAAAAGUGAAAGACGGUCUUGCUGUCACUUAUAGAUGGAUCCGCGCUGCAUUAGCUAGUUGGUAAGGUAACGGCUUACCAAGGCAACGAUGCAUAGCCGACCUGAGAGGGUGAUCGCCCACACUGGAACUGAGACACGGUCCAGACUCCUACGGGAGGCAGCAGUAGGGAAUCUUCCACAAUGGGCGAAAGCCUGACGGAGCAACGCCGCGUGAGUGAUGAAGGUCUUCGGAUCGUAAAACUCUUUUAUUAGGGAAGAACAUAUGUGUAAGUAACUGUGCACAUCUUGACGGUACCUAAUCAGAAAGCCACGGCUAACUACGUG
RNAcentral lists this ribosomal RNA (497 nucleotides) under uncultured bacterium. RNAcentral's name for it is "partial 16S ribosomal RNA". It matches the Rfam family "Bacterial small subunit ribosomal RNA", at positions 28 to 507 of the family's 1533-position model. The record is from RNAcentral.